This 288-nucleotide ribosomal RNA is filed under the name uncultured cyanobacterium. RNAcentral describes it as "partial 16S ribosomal RNA". It matches the Rfam family "Bacterial small subunit ribosomal RNA", at positions 508 to 795 of the family's 1533-position model. The record is from RNAcentral. Lineage: Bacteria; Bacillati; Cyanobacteriota.
CCAGCAGCCGCGGUAAUACGGAGGAUGCAAGCGUUAUCCGGAAUUAUUGGGCGUAAAGCGUCCGCAGGUGGCUCAUCAAGUCUGCUGUCAAAGGCAGGGGCUUAACCCCUGAAAGGCAGUGGAAACUGGAGAGCUAGAGUGCAGUAGGGGUAGAGGGAAUUCCCGGUGUAGCGGUGAAAUGCGUAGAGAUCGGGAAGAACAUCGGUGGCGAAAGCGCUCUGCUGGACUGCAACUGACACUAAAGGACGAAAGCUAGGGGAGCGAAUGGGAUUAGAUACCCCAGUAGUC